RNAcentral lists this ribosomal RNA (430 nucleotides) under Clostridioides difficile. RNAcentral's name for it is "bacterial SSU rRNA". It matches the Rfam family "Bacterial small subunit ribosomal RNA", at positions 361 to 809 of the family's 1533-position model. The record is from RNAcentral. Lineage: Bacteria; Bacillati; Bacillota; Clostridia; Peptostreptococcales; Peptostreptococcaceae.
AUAUUGCACAAUGGGCGACAGCCUGAUGCAGCAAAGCCGCGUGCGUGAUGAAAGCCUUCGGGUCGUAAAACUCUGUCCUCAGGGACGAUAAUGACGGUACUUGCGGAGGAAGCACCGGCUAACUACCUGCCAGCAGACGCGGCAAUACGUAGGGAGCUAGCGUUAUCCGGAUUGACUGAGCGUAAAGGGUGCGUAGGCGGUCUUGCAAGUCAGGAGUGAAAGGAUAAGGAGCAACCGUAGUAAGCACUGGAAACUGGGAGGAUGGAGUGCAGGAGAGGGGAGUGGAGGUACUAGGGUAGCGGUGAAAUGCGUAGAGAUUAGGAGGAACACCAGUUGGGAAGGUGGGUCUCUGGAAUGGAACUGACGCUGAGGCACGAAAGUGUGGGGAGCAAACAGGAUUAGAUACCCAGGUAGUCCACGCUGUAAAAGA